CCAGUCAUGAAACUAGACUCUUAAGUUUAUUGUCUCUCCAACAAAAACGGGACAAGGAAGCUUCUCACAGCCAAGAUACAACUAACUCCAGUGCCAUCUAGUGACUAAACUAUGUAACCACACUAUCCACACAUGAAGCUGCAAAGAUGGGGAAAACUUAACUGUCACACUGCUAAAAAGUCUCAACAGAUAAUCUGCCUGAGCAACUCAAACAACAAGUGGGGCAAAAGCAGGAUAUAUUAUGUAAGCUAUAAGAAUAAAAAAUAGCUAUAGGAAGGAGGCAUCAUAAGUGCAAAAAGUCCAGGGUUUUUUAAAAAGUAGAUUUGUUAUGCUAGGGCGGCAGAGCACUUUGAUUAUACAAACUUAAAUUUAUGAUAUGCAUUUGAAACCCUCCUGUGAAAUACAGUCUGUAGUCAUCCAAGUCAAACCCUUGAUCUGUUAAGCUCAAUUUUGUCUACACUGACUGGCAACAGCAAUCCAGAUGGGAUCCCUCCGCCCCAAUCCUACCUAGAGAUAUGAGCGAUUGAGUCUAGGGAAAUUUAAACAUGCAGAGCAUGUGCUCUAUUGAGCUACAUCCCAUCCCUAUGAUAACUAGUUACCCUCUUUUCUGCCUUUGUAAUUUCUAGAUUGACUUACUGUAAUGUGUUGCAUACAUGGCUGUCGCUCAAGAUGAUCCAGAAACCUUAAAUGGCUUUAAAACGUAGCUGCCUGUAAGUUAUCAACCAUAGGCUAUUGUAAACAUGUUGUUGUUUAGUCGUUUAGUCAUGUCUGACUCUUCGUGACUCCAUGGACCAGAGCACGCCAGGCACUCCUGUCUUCCAUGGCCUCCCGCAGUUUGGUCAGACUCAUGUUUGUAGCUUCGAGAAUACUGUAAACAUAUGAUACAUAUUUUGGAACAACUUCAUUGGUUUUCAGUUUGUUCCCAAGCUUAGUUCAGGGUGCAGUUUGUGAAUUUUAAAGCUGUUCUGUUUUGAAUAUGAUUAGUACAGAAACAGCAAGAAAGAGAUGGUAAAUGAUAGAGGCUAUGAAAGACAGUAACUCGUUUCACACUUGACUUAUCCAGUCUUCUGUCUCUCAAGAGCCUUAAUCAAAAUAGUUCUGAGCAUACAGAUACCUGUCUCCAUGCCAACUUUGCUGGGAUUUGUAAUAUAUCCUGCAGCCCUUGCCCAGUUUUAAGAAGAAAACGUCCAGUAACAUAUACUAAUACAAGGUGCAUUUCAUAUUUAGAAGCUGAAGAGCAAGGAGUAACAUGGGCAUAGAAAUACUCAGAAUGAAUCCUAUACAUUCCUUUGCACAAUAUAAAUAACUGUCUUAUUUGAUCAAGCCAAUACGGCAUCCUCUAUCUAGAACACACCUUUGCUUUCUCUGCCAUUAUAAAGCAAUAUUCUCUCAUGUACUGGAAAACAAGCAUAUCUAUGUUUUGGAUAUAUUUCAGUACAAUCCUACUGAUGUCCACUGCAGUUUAUUCUGACUAUCUGACAUUGUAUGAACAACACAACCAAAGUUGUUCCUAAUUAGUUGCCACCUUUAUUCUUGGAAAGCUACAUUGCUUUUUUACAGCUGCAUGACAGGCAGGAUUUCAGCAAAUAAACCAUUACUGUGUCUGCAUGCUGGGAAAACUUCACCUGCUGCAAUUUGCCUUAUUAUACAGUUAUUAAUGGCAAAUGAUCCAACCCAGAAAAGUAUUGCCAACUUUAUUCCUACUCCAUAUUUUUUAUUCUGUUCUUCUCAAUAUUGCUUUUUAUUGCGCAGUAUCAAGAAGCCAUAAAUUAGGACAAUAAUGCCUACCCACUUCAGACAGAAUGGUUGUUUCACAUUUAUUGCAAAUACUGUAAGCUGUUUACAGGCAGACUGCAUUAGGCUGAAAAACGCAAUAACCUCAGGGGCGGGGGGAAUUGUGGCAUCUGAAAUAACCCCUAAUUUCAAUUGGUGCAAGUAGCAAUAAGCCUGCUGGAAUAUGAAUAGGGUCCACCAUUUUAAAAUCUCGUACAGCUGUCAAUGCUUCCAUGAUAUCAUGGUCCUUUUUAACAGGAUACUGUGGGCAAUCUCGGCCCUGUGGAAUGCCUUGCAUGUUUAUUAAGUGAGCAUGUAACCACAGCAAGAAUCUUCUAAGACUGUCUAUAGUUAGACUUUGGAAGAAGCACAUGUCCUUCCUAAGUGAGAUGGCAUCUGGACCUUGUCAAGUGUGUCAGCUUUCACUCUCAGACUCUUGUUUCCCAGCAUAUAUUUGUGCAGAGAUUCCAAGCUGCAUUGAGGCUCCACCCUAAGUGAUACUGUUUUCUUCUCAUAUUAUCACAGUUCAGCCAUCAGUGACGAGGACUGUUUUAAUGAUUUACGAAGAUAUAAUGCCACAGACAGAUGUAGAGGGGAGUUGAGCUCUGUGCCCUAUCUUCAGCUUUGCUAACAAAAGGGUUGGGAGCACCAGAAUGGGGUUUGGGGAGUUAGAAACUUGUUGUGACAUGCCAACUGCCUAGAUAGUGACAAACAUAUUAUGAAUCUUCACACCCUCAUUCCACAUUCUGGGCAGCCUUAUGCUGGGGGACAGGAUGUGGGGACUCAUGGUGGGAGAUAGUGAUAUGGAGUACUGGUUAUAUGGGCACCAUGCUUUAUGGCUGCAAUGGAAGUGACACAAGAAUGGCCUCUUUGGGAAGAGGGAGCCCUACUUCAAUGGAUUUCCCACACCACUAAGAACUGAACUGCUGUAAGAAAGCUUGACAGAAGGAUGGAGAUGGAAGUUUAGAGUUCCUAGUAUGUUCAUAAUUUAACAAUCUGUUGUCAGUAGCCUCUGUGUUAGAAACAGUAAAGCUUUUCUUGCAAUAUGACUAGUUGGGGAACUUCUGCAAAACAUUUUAUGUGGCCUGUAGCCGUUGCUAGAGGACAGUCAUUCACAUUUGUCCUCCCAUCUGUUCCCUAGAAAAAAGUAUUUUCUUCUAUAUAGAAGCCAGUGCAUUUCAACAUUAAGUUUAGGGCAUGCUAUUUAAAAAAAAGAAUCUGAUCUCACCUGAAGGAGCUGUUUCUCAGAGGUGUUGAAGGCAUGGCAUGGGUCUGCCUUUUCUAGGGCUAGCUGUGAAGCUGCAUGCAUGUUAAGUUUUUAUGUAGGCAGGAUUGUUUCCUGCUGUGCUGCAUUGCUUCACUUACUUGUUUUUUAUACAUUGUUAUGAGUUUGUGAGGGUAAGCUGUAUGCCUGAGCCCCCGUCUAAUUCCUGGAUCCAUCACAGAUUCGAUUGCUGGAAUAGCCAGGCUAGCUUCCUGGUGAGAUAAUGGCCCUCUAGGUAUGGGCUAUUAAGAUAACAAAGGAACUGGUGCUGUGCCAGACUGAAAAUGGGUGGGCCUCCCUCAACUCACUGUUAGUUAGAAAGACAAAGAUCAGAGUUGGGAGUUGAGCUAUGUGAGCAAGAAGCUAGACACUGGAAGUGGCAAGUUGAGUAACUGGAAUGCUUGAUUUCUCUUACUGUUGUUAUUUAUUAAACUUGUAUAUUGCCCUUCAUCCGAAGAUCCCAG
Non-coding RNA from Podarcis lilfordi (Lilford's wall lizard), 3501 nucleotides. The record is from the annotation of a GenBank genome assembly. NCBI's taxonomy places the organism in Eukaryota, Metazoa, Chordata, Lepidosauria, Squamata, Lacertidae.